RNAcentral lists this ribosomal RNA (209 nucleotides) under uncultured bacterium. RNAcentral's name for it is "partial 16S ribosomal RNA". It matches the Rfam family "Bacterial small subunit ribosomal RNA", at positions 1291 to 1500 of the family's 1533-position model. The record is from RNAcentral.
GUUCAGAUUGCAGGCUGCAACCCGCCUGCAUGAAGUCGGAAUUGCUAGUAAUCGCGGAUCAGCAUGCCGCGGUGAAUACGUUCCCGGGCCUUGUACACACCGCCCGUCACACCAUGGGAGCCGGUAAUACCCGAAGUCAGUAGUCCAACCACGUGAGGACGCUGCCGAAGGUAGGAUUGGCGACUGGGGUGAAGUCGUAACAAGGUAAC